This 434-nucleotide ribosomal RNA is filed under the name uncultured Clostridium sp. RNAcentral's name for it is "partial 16S ribosomal RNA". It matches the Rfam family "Bacterial small subunit ribosomal RNA", at positions 341 to 792 of the family's 1533-position model. Lineage: Bacteria; Bacillati; Bacillota; Clostridia; Eubacteriales; Clostridiaceae. The record is from RNAcentral.
ACGGGAGGCAGCAGUGGGGAAUAUUGCACAAUGGGGGGAACCCUGAUGCAGCGACGCCGCGUGAAGGAUGAAGUAUUUCGGUAUGUAAACUUCUAUCAGCAGGGAAGAAAAUGACGGUACCUGACUAAGAAGCCCCGGCUAACUACGUGCCAGCAGCCGCGGUAAUACGUAGGGGGCAAGCGUUAUCCGGAUUUACUGGGUGUAAAGGGAGCGUAGACGGUAUGGCAAGUCUGAAGUGAAAACCCAGGGCUCAACCUUGGGACUGCUUUGGAAACUGUUAAACUAGAGUGUCGGAGAGGCAAGUGGAAUUCCUAGUGUAGCGGUGAAGUGCGUAGAUAUUAGGAGGAACACCAGUGGCGAAGGCGGCUUACUGGACUGUAACUGACGUUGAGGCUCGAAAGCGUGGGGAGCAAACAGGAUUAGAUACCCUGGUA